Molecule: ribosomal RNA, 372 nt
Filed under: uncultured organism
Description: bacterial SSU rRNA
Rfam family: Bacterial small subunit ribosomal RNA
Source: RNAcentral
CAGAGACUGCAAGCGUUAUUCGGAUUCACUGGGCGUAAAGGGUGCGCAGGCGGUCGUGUGUGUCAGAUGUGAAAUCCCGGAGCUUAACUCCGGAACUGCGUCUGGAACUACACGACUAGAGCAUUGGAGAGGGAAGUGGAAUUCAUGGUGUAGCAGUGAAAUGCGUAGAUAUCAUGAGGAACACCAGAGGCGAAGGCGACUUCCUGGACAAUUGCUGACGCUCAGGCACGAAAGCAUGGGGAGCAAAAGGGAUUAGAUACCCCUGUAGUCCAUGCCCUAAACGGUGCACACUAGGUCUUGGAGGAUUCGACCCCUUCAGGGCCCAAGCUAACGCGUUAAGUGUGCCGCCUGAGGACUACGGUCGCAAGACUA